Molecule: regulatory RNA element, 48 nt
Organism: Actinomyces massiliensis F0489
Lineage: Bacteria; Bacillati; Actinomycetota; Actinomycetes; Actinomycetales; Actinomycetaceae
Rfam family: L31-Actinobacteria ribosomal protein leader
Source: Rfam
CCGGUCUCCGGUUCACCCGCGCUGCGCUCGCGUGCGGGACCCGGCGCC